AGAGCGAACGCUGGCGGCAUGCUUAACACAUGCAAGUCGCACGGUCAGCAAUGGCAGUGGCGGACGGGUGAGUAACGCGUAGGAAUCUAUCCAGAGGUGGGGGACAACGGUUGGAAACGACUGCUAAUACCGCAUGUUACCUGAGGGUUAAAGGCGCAAGUCGCCUUUGGAGGAGCCUGCGUCUGAUUAGCUUGUUGGUGGGGUAAAGGCUUACCAAGGCGACGAUCAGUAGCUGGUCUGAGAGGAUGAUCAGCCACAUUGGGACUGAGACACGGCCCAAACUCCUACGGGAGGCAGCAGUGGGGAAUAUUGGACAAUGGGCGCAAGCCUGAUCCAGCAAUGCCGCGUGUGUGAAGAAGGUCUUCGGAUUGUAAAGCACUUUUGGCAGGGACGAUGAUGACGGUACCUGCAGAAUAAGCCCGGCUAACUUCGUGCCAGCAGCCGC
This 445-nucleotide ribosomal RNA is filed under the name uncultured bacterium. RNAcentral's name for it is "SSU rRNA". It matches the Rfam family "Bacterial small subunit ribosomal RNA", at positions 26 to 518 of the family's 1533-position model. The record is from RNAcentral.